Molecule: ribosomal RNA, 253 nt
Filed under: uncultured bacterium
Lineage: Bacteria
Description: partial 16S ribosomal RNA
Rfam family: Bacterial small subunit ribosomal RNA
Source: RNAcentral
UACGUAGGGUGCAAGCGUUGUCCGGAAUUAUUGGGCGUAAAGAGCUCGUAGGCGGUCCGUCACGUCGGGCGUGAAAACCCAGGGCUCAACCCUGGGCCUGCGUUCGAUACGGGCGGACUAGAGUUCGGUAGGGGAGACUGGAAUUCCUGGUGUAGCGGUGAAAUGCGCAGAUAUCAGGAGGAACACCGGUGGCGAAGGCGGGUCUCUGGGCCGAUACUGACGCUGAGGCACGAAAGCGUGGGGAGCAAACAGG